CUACUGUAGCACACUCCACAUCAGGAUCCCAGGCAGGAGCUAACAAAGGCUUCAUUAUGUCCAAAAUAGUGCUGCCCGGGUCCUGAUGAGAGUGCAUAAACAUGAGCACACCCCGCCCCAUCCUUCGCACUCUGCACCGGCUCCCUGUUCACUUCCACAUCGAAGUCUUCCUUCACACCCAUCACUGUCUGUACCGUGUAGCCCCCACCUGUACCUCGCUGAACUCCUCAACCUUCACAAAUCAGCCAGAACCCGGUCAGAACACUCCAAGGAUUGAAACCUGACUGUAGAAAUCCUCACACAUGACAUCAAAGGGGGGCGGUCGUUUUUACACUUGCUGUCAAAAGAAAAUGACCACAAUCACUGGGUCUCGGGUCACAACCAAUCACGGCUGUGGUACAUUUUGCUGCUUAACUCAUAUUACAC
Syngnathus typhle (broad-nosed pipefish) is the source of this 426-nucleotide long non-coding RNA. RefSeq lists it as uncharacterized. NCBI's taxonomy places the organism in Eukaryota, Metazoa, Chordata, Actinopteri, Syngnathiformes, Syngnathidae. The transcript is spliced from 3 exons. The record is from RefSeq and is a predicted model, not a curated record.